ACGAAGGGGGCAAGCGUUGUUCGGAAUUACUGGGCGUAAAGCGCGUGUAGGUGGUUGCACGAGUCAGGCGUGAAAGCCUCGAGCUCAACUCGAGAACUGCGCUUGAUACUGUGCGGCUAGAGGACCGGAGAGGAUAGUGGAAUUCCCAGUGUAGUGGUGAAAUACGUAGAGAUUGGGAAGAACACCAGUGGCGAAGGCGGCUAUCUGGACGGUUUCUGACACUAAGACGCGAAAGCGUGGGGAGCAAACAGGA
Molecule: ribosomal RNA, 253 nt
Filed under: uncultured prokaryote
Description: partial 16S ribosomal RNA
Rfam family: Bacterial small subunit ribosomal RNA
Source: RNAcentral